This is a long non-coding RNA of Exaiptasia diaphana, 585 nucleotides long. RefSeq lists it as uncharacterized. The transcript is spliced from 4 exons. NCBI's taxonomy places the organism in Eukaryota, Metazoa, Cnidaria, Anthozoa, Actiniaria, Aiptasiidae. The record is from RefSeq and is a predicted model, not a curated record.
AUCAAUUUCACUGUGAAGACUUGUGCUAGAUGAGCUCCUACGUGAAUAUGGGGCCAAUCCAGAAGUUGUAGAAUCAAGGUCAAUCUGAACCUACCUGAACAUGAUUGUUGAUGACUGCAUCAUGAAGAGGGCUAAUGUCUUCAUAUCCAGUAAUCAACCAUUUAACCCAUGGGASCGAUUAAUCAAGGUACCAACCAACAGCUCCAUCAUCUAAAAAGCUUCUUAUACAAUAAAUGAGUAACWCUCUCAUCACCAACCAUCAUCAGUUUUUCUGUUAAGGCUGUAAAGAGCCCACAAAGGAUUAAGUGAAAGCAGGAAUAUGAUGUUUUACACAUACCUGCAUAAUCUUUAGCAUUAACAACUAUACCAGCUUUGAUUAAAUCUAUAGUAUCAUCAACAUCUCCUUUAAUAGCAGCAACAUGUAAAAGAGUUUCCCCUCGCUCAUUCCUCUUGUUGAUUCUAACUGUAUUGCUUUCUUUCUUUGUGAUAUCUUUCUUUUUUAACUUGGUAAAUGCUUGACCUUGGCCUUGUCCUUCAUCACUGUCCGUCUCUUGUUGGUCUUUAGGUUGGGCAUCUUUAGCUGUG